Molecule: unclassified non-coding RNA, 262 nt
Filed under: plant metagenome
Description: partial contains small subunit ribosomal RNA, internal transcribed spacer 1, and 5.8S ribosomal RNA
Source: RNAcentral
UCUCCGUUGGUGAACCAGCGGAGGGAUCAUUACCGAGUUUACAACUCCCAAACCCCUAUGUGAACGUUACCAAACUGUUGCCUCGGCGGGAAAUUCAUGCCCCGGGCGCGUCGCAGCCCCGGACCAAGGCGCCCGCCGGAGGACCAACCAAAACUCUUUUGUAUGUCCCUCGCGGACUUUUAUAAUUCUGAACCAUCUCGGCGCCCCUAGCGGGCGUUUCGAAAAUGAAUCAAAACUUUCAACAACGGAUCUCUUGGCUCUG